RNAcentral lists this ribosomal RNA (676 nucleotides) under uncultured bacterium. RNAcentral's name for it is "bacterial SSU rRNA". It matches the Rfam family "Bacterial small subunit ribosomal RNA", at positions 827 to 1502 of the family's 1533-position model. The record is from RNAcentral.
GAGACUUGAUCUCUUAGUGGCGCAGCUAACGCAAUAAGUAGACCGCCUGGGGAGUACGGUCGCAAGAUUAAAACUCAAAUGAAUUGACGGGGGCCCGCACAAGCGGUGGAGCAUGUGGUUUAAUUCGAUGCAACGCGAAGAACCUUACCAGGUCUUGACAUCCUACUAAGUGUCCAGAGAUGGAUUCGUGCCUUCGGGAAAGUAGUGACAGGUGCUGUAUGGCUGUCGUCAGCUCGUGUCGUGAGAUGUUGGGUUAAGUCCCGUAACGAGCGCAACCCUUGUCCUUAGUUGCCAGCACGUAAUGGUGGGAACUCUAAGGAGACUGCCGGUGACAAACCGGAGGAAGGUGGGGACGACGUCAAGUCAUCAUGGCCCUUACGACCUGGGCUACACACGUGCUACAAUGGCUGGUACAAACGGUCGCCAACCCGCGAGGGGGAGCUAAUCCGAGAAAACCAGUCGUAGUCCGGAUUGGAGUCUGCAACUCGACUCCAUGAAGUCGGAAUCGCUAGUAAUCGUAGAUCAGAAUGCUACGGUGAAUACGUUCCCGGGCCUUGUACACACCGCCCGUCACACCAUGGGAGUGGGUUGCAAAAGAAGUGGGUAGGCUAACCUUCGGGAGGCCGCUCACCACUUUGUGAUUCAUGACUGGGGUGAAGUCGUAACAAGGUAGCCG